This 504-nucleotide ribosomal RNA is filed under the name uncultured bacterium. Its description in RNAcentral is "bacterial SSU rRNA". It matches the Rfam family "Bacterial small subunit ribosomal RNA", at positions 15 to 507 of the family's 1533-position model. The record is from RNAcentral.
GAUCCUGGCUCAGAGUGAACGCUGGCGGCAGGCCUAACACAUGCAAGUCGAACGGCAGCACAGUCGUAGCAAUACGAUGGGUGGCGAGUGGCGGACGGGUGAGGAAUGCAUCGGAAUCUGCCUUGUUGUGGGGGAUAACGUAGGGAAACUUACGCUAAUACCGCAUGAGACCGAAAGGUGAAAGAGGGGGGACCGCAAGGCCUCUCGCGACAAGAUGAGCCGAUGCCGGAUUAGCUAGUUGGUGGGGUAAAGGCUCACCAAGGCGACGAUCCGUAGCUGGUCUGAGAGGAUGAUCAGCCACACUGGAACUGAGACACGGUCCAGACUCCUACGGGAGGCAGCAGUGGGGAAUAUUGGACAAUGGGGGAAACCCUGAUCCAGCCAUGCCGCGUGUGUGAAGAAGGCCUUCGGGUUGUAAAGCACUUUAAGCGGGGAGGAAGGCCUUGAGGAUAAUACCCUUGAGGAUUGACGUUACCCGCAGAAUAAGCACCGGCUAACUCUGUG